CAAUGAGGAGCAGAGAGACUGAAAUGGCGAUCAGACUUCACACAUUGUGGCUGACGGGGUUCCAAAAUCAUGUACCACUCCAACGGCAUAUCUGGAGUUGGUGUUAACAGACCUUUCAUCACCAAGGAUACAGGAUCUGAUGAAGGUAAACGAUUCUAGGGAACUAGAGUGUGGAGCUAUUCCUCAUGUCCAAGCCAACAAUUAACAUUACAACAACUACUUAC
Non-coding RNA from Chiloscyllium plagiosum (whitespotted bambooshark), 224 nucleotides. The record is from RefSeq and is a predicted model, not a curated record. Lineage: Eukaryota; Metazoa; Chordata; Chondrichthyes; Orectolobiformes; Hemiscylliidae.